GGGGAUUUAGCUCAGUGGCAGAGCGCUUGCCUAGGAAGCGCAAGGCCCUGGGUUCAGUCCCCA
Non-coding RNA from Rattus norvegicus (Norway rat), 63 nucleotides. NCBI's taxonomy places the organism in Eukaryota, Metazoa, Chordata, Mammalia, Rodentia, Muridae. The record is from Rfam.